GAGCACGUAGGUGGGUUUGUAAGUCAGAUGUGAAAGCCUUCUGUUCAACGGAAGAAUUGCAUCUGAAACUGCGAGUCUUGAGUGUUGGAGGGGAGAAUGGAACUUCUGGUGGAGCGGUGAAAUGCGUAGAUAUCAGAAGGAACUCCGGCGGCGAAAGCGAUUCUCUGGCCUAUUACUGACACUCAGUGUGCGAAAGCUAGGGGAGCAAACGGGAUUAGAUACCCCGGUAGUCCUAGCCGUAAACGAUGGGCACUAAGUAGAGGGGUUUU
RNAcentral lists this ribosomal RNA (269 nucleotides) under uncultured Planctomycetales bacterium. RNAcentral's name for it is "partial 16S ribosomal RNA". It matches the Rfam family "Bacterial small subunit ribosomal RNA", at positions 565 to 832 of the family's 1533-position model. The record is from RNAcentral. Lineage: Bacteria; Pseudomonadati; Planctomycetota; Planctomycetia; Planctomycetales.